This 76-nucleotide transfer RNA is filed under the name Phyllobacterium brassicacearum. RNAcentral's name for it is "tRNA-Trp". It matches the Rfam family "tRNA". From Rfam's summary of the family: Transfer RNA (tRNA) molecules are approximately 80 nucleotides in length. Their secondary structure includes four short double-helical elements and three loops (D, anti-codon, and T loops). Further hydrogen bonds mediate the characteristic L-shaped molecular structure. tRNAs have two regions of fundamental functional importance: the anti-codon, which is responsible for specific mRNA codon recognition, and the 3' end, to which the tRNAs corresponding amino acid is attached (by aminoacyl-tRNA synthetases). tRNAs cope with the degeneracy of the genetic code in two manners: having more than one tRNA (with a specific anti-codon) for a particular amino acid; and 'wobble' base-pairing, i.e. permitting non-standard base-pairing at the 3rd anti-codon position. RNAcentral also lists the same sequence under 9 other names. The record is from RNAcentral. Lineage: Bacteria; Pseudomonadati; Pseudomonadota; Alphaproteobacteria; Hyphomicrobiales; Phyllobacteriaceae.
AGGGGAGUAGCUCAGUUGGUAGAGCGGCGGUCUCCAAAACCGUAGGUCGCAGGUUCGAACCCUGUCUCCCCUGCCA